CUGGCUUGAAUUUUUAAUUUUUAAAUUAUUUUAUAUGCAAAUUUUAGUUUGAUUUUAUUAUAUUUUAUAUAGAUAUAUUAAUUUAUUUAGUUUAUAAAUUCGCAAUAUUGAAGAUUAAAUAUAAAAGAAAUUUUGAUUUAGGAAUUUAUAAUAGUAAUGACAAAAUUUGUGCCAGCAGUCGCGGUUACACAAAUGUUGCAAUUAAAUUUGUUCAGUAAAUAAUUAAUUUAUGUUUGUUGUAGUUGAAGGUUAAAUUUAUUAGGUGAAAUUAUUAAUUUUAAUUAAAACUAUAAAAUAAGAAAUGAGGUUAUGAAAUUUUUAUUAUAAACUAGGAUUAGAUACCCUAUUAUUGAAAAUUUAAAUUAUAAAUACUUGAGUAGUAGUAGUUACGUUCUUGAAAUUCAAAGAAUCUGGCGGUAUUUUAGUCUAUUCAGAGGAACCUGUCCUGUAAUUGAUAAUCCACGAUUAAUUUUACUUAUUUUAAAGGUUUGUAUAUCGUCGUAGUUUGAAUGUUUUAAGAGGAUAAGUAAUGUUCAAUAUUUAUUAUUAUAAAUAAAAUCAGAUCAAGAUACAGCGUAUAGAUGAGAAGAGAUGGGUUACAAUAAAUUUAUUUAUAUGGUUAAUAUGUUUAAUAAUAUAUUAUAAAGUGGAUUUGAUAGUAAUAUAAUUAAUUUAAAUUAUAUGAUUUUAGCUCUAAAAUAUGUACAUAUCGCCCGUCGCUCCCAUUUUAAGAUGGGAUAAGUCGUAACAAAGUAGGCGUACUGGAAAGUGUGCCUGGUAAGG
Molecule: non-coding RNA, 783 nt
Filed under: Dicronorhina derbyana
Lineage: Eukaryota; Metazoa; Arthropoda; Insecta; Coleoptera; Scarabaeidae
Source: RNAcentral